This 500-nucleotide ribosomal RNA is filed under the name uncultured bacterium. Its description in RNAcentral is "bacterial SSU rRNA". It matches the Rfam family "Bacterial small subunit ribosomal RNA", at positions 28 to 517 of the family's 1533-position model. The record is from RNAcentral.
GAUGAACGCUAGCUACAGGCUUAACACAUGCAAGUCGAGGGGCAGCAUGGUCUUAGCUUGCUAAGGCCGAUGGCGACCGGCGCACGGGUGAGUAACGCGUAUCCAACCUGCCUUACACUCUUGGACAGCCUUCUGAAAGGGAGAUUAAUACAAGAUGUUAUCAUGAGUAAGCAUUUUCGCAUGGUUAAAGGUUUACCGGUGUAAGAUGGGGAUGCGUUCCAUUAGAUAGUAGGCGGGGUAACGGCCCACCUAGUCUUCGAUGGAUAGGGGUUCUGAGAGGAAGGUCCCCCACAUUGGAACUGAGACACGGUCCAAACUCCUACGGGAGGCAGCAGUGAGGAAUAUUGGUCAAUGGACGAGAGUCUGAACCAGCCAAGUAGCGUGAAGGAUGAAGGUUCUAUGGAUUGUAAACUUCUUUAUACGGGAAUAAACGGAUCCACGUGUGGAUUUUUGCAUGUACCGUAUGAAUAAGGAUCGGCUAAACUCCGUGCCAGCAGCCG